This is a long non-coding RNA of Patella vulgata (common limpet), 2377 nucleotides long. RefSeq lists it as uncharacterized. The record is from RefSeq and is a predicted model, not a curated record. The transcript has 3 exons. NCBI's taxonomy places the organism in Eukaryota, Metazoa, Mollusca, Gastropoda, Patellidae.
UUAUAGUGAAGGCAUGGACGGAAUAAGGAUUAGAGUUCAAGUAUAGGCCUAACACUUUUAGACUAGAUACGUAGAGUUGAGCAAGCCGAGCCUAGUUUACACUAGAGUAGAUAACAAACCUUAUUCCUUAAUCUCUCAACCCUCCGUGUUUCGAGAUAAGAGAUGAGGCCAUUACCUUCAAUGUAGCACAUGCGAGAGCGAUUCGCACCCGGCAUUUGUAAACAAAAUUGACAAUAUUUUUAAUCAAAACAACGAUUGGUUAUUGUUAUUUAUAAUAUUUCUGCCACACCCAACUACAAUUAAGCAUAUAAUCCUACCUGAAACGGGUACAAAUCCCCUCUUUUUAAAUCAAAGUGACAGUAGAUCGCUUUUUCCGACAUUUUAAAUUUACGUCUGUACACACAUAAAGGCGGGGUCUCGUGUGCAAUAGCCAAUCAAAGUACCCAUCUGAUCAGAGUUGCGCAGUAGGUAUUACGGGUUAUGGACAUAACGGCCAAAAGCAAAAACGGCCAAAACAUAUUUGGUCAUAAUGGUCAAAAUUUGGUCACAAUGGCCAAAAUUUGGUCAUAACGGCCCAAAAAAAUUUUGGUCACAACUCCCAAAUUUUCUCCUACCUGCCCUUAAUAAUAGCCAAGUUUACAGAGUUUUAGAUUAAAAAAAAAAUAAUUAAAAUUUUGUUAAUGGUUGUCAAAACAUCCUUUAUAACUUUUUCAAUCUUGCAAUUUAUAAAGUUUUAAAGUUCUUUUGUCUUAUGUGAUUGUCACAACAUUAUCCCAAAUUAACCAUCUGGUAUAAUUCGAGCCUUUUCUCACAAUGAUGAGACAUUCUUGUCUCAAUGAUUAUCAAAACAUCCUUUAUAACUUUUUCAACUUUUAAAAGACACCAUUGUUUAAAGCUUUUUUUUUAUGUAAUUGUUGAAACCCCUUAUUAAAUUAGCCCUCUUUAAUUGGACCAUUUUUGUAUAAUGUUGAGGCAUACUUGUCUCAUGUUCUCACGACAAUUUAGAUUAUAUAUAAAUUAAAAUGAAGUGAAUCAUAAUCAUAUUUUGUCUACAAUAUCACCUUAGGUGGAAGUGGACGUAAAACCCCAGAAACGAACGAAACGAAUCAUAAUCAUUCGUUGAUCUAUAUUUCCUAAGAUCAGAUGCUUGACUCUACUCUUGUGUCAUAAUGAAGUGUGUUUAUUGUGCCAAAACUGUCAAAAAAAUCAGCAUGCUGUUUCUUGUGAUGCAUGUGGUAGUUGGACACACAGAUUAUGUGGUACAGACAUUUCGAAGGAAGACUACUUAAGAGCCCAAGACCAGACUAUCAGUUUUGUGUGUUCUGUCUGCAAUGUCCCUGUUGGAAACUUUUCACUAAAUGCAACAAUUGAAUCAUCACUAUUAGCUUCUUCUGAAAGAAUAAAUAUAAAGUUCAUGGUGGCACCCAUAGCUUCAUAAAAAAAACUAAUGAGUUUACCUUUUUUGCCAAAGUCACACAUACGUGACAUUUUACCAACUUCAGGGUAAAACCACAAACGAUAAACUAAUUGAGUUAAUGGAUUAUAUGGAACGUCAGUGGAUUGACCAUAGCCUUUUUAAAAUGUCAUCUUGGAGUGUGUUUAACCAGACAAUAAGGAUAAACAAUAACAUAGAAGGGUGGCAUCGACGCAUCAACCACAAGGCUGGUGAGCAGCAGUUGGGGAUGUAUGUAUAAGCUGAUAAGCUUUCUUUUUGGAGAAGUCGACAUGUUGCCCCUUCAAGCCGCAUUAUUGUUCGAAGGAAAAUUGAGGCGUUAUUUCAUCCGAACAUGUACGAACGCCCAAGAAGAGAUUUACCAUGCUUGGAGAGAAUAUGAGAAUGGAGAUUUGAGUGCUAGCAUGAUGUUACGGAUAUGUUCCCGUCACCGUGGACCCGUUGAAUAGAUAGUCUGGGGCCAUAACUCUGGCAGUAAUUAUCAGAAAUCGCUGAAAAUCAAUAGACUUCUUUAUCGCAUGACCUUAAACACUGUGUAUGAAUUUAAAGUCAAUCGGAUAUUAACUUUAGCCUCUAGAGCAUCCACAAGAGUUUUUAAUGUGAUCAAGGGUCAUAACUGGCAGUAAUUAUCAGAUGUCGCUUAAAAUCAAUAGGCUUCUUCGUCCCAUGACCUUAAACACUGUGUAUAAAUUUAAAUUCAAUCGGAUAUUAACUUUAGCCAACUCUAAUCUCCCUUAAUGUAUCUUUAAGUGUUAAAACACAUUGUAUUUUAAUACAUCGCAUUCCUGAUAUUUCUUCUUCCUCUUUUGAAUUAAUAUAUUUGUUUCAAUUGAUCAUGAACAUAUGCCUCCGUGUUUAUUUUUUGUUGUUAUUUUUGUUAUAAAAUAAUUUAUGGCCAUUCAAAAAUAAAAUAUAUUAAAAUUG